GGUGGUUCUUGGGGUGAUGCACCCCCAGAAUUGGGCUCCCUCCUCUCUGGUUCCAGGAUGUGUCACCGAGAACCGCU
Myotis lucifugus (little brown bat) is the source of this 77-nucleotide non-coding RNA. The record is from Rfam. NCBI's taxonomy places the organism in Eukaryota, Metazoa, Chordata, Mammalia, Chiroptera, Vespertilionidae.